AAGGCAUGGUGAGGACACUUUCUAAGCAUAUCCUUAAAUCUCUUCUAACUCUCAUAAAAAGAUUCUCCUUCUAACUGAGUAAAAAAAAUAAUAUUAUUUUAAGCUU
Molecule: small nucleolar RNA, 106 nt
Organism: Dendrobium catenatum
Lineage: Eukaryota; Viridiplantae; Streptophyta; Magnoliopsida; Asparagales; Orchidaceae
Source: RefSeq, a predicted model, not a curated record